RNAcentral lists this long non-coding RNA (214 nucleotides) under Mytilus galloprovincialis (Mediterranean mussel). Lineage: Eukaryota; Metazoa; Mollusca; Bivalvia; Mytilida; Mytilidae. The record is from RNAcentral.
AAAAGUAAGGAUACCUAAAGGAUUAUUUAAAGUCAAACGCACAUGUCAAAAAUGAACGGACAAUGCUACGGCAAUAAACGGAAAACGACAAAAGACAAACAACGAUCGCAAAAUAAAUAAAUACAAAGCAUAAACAAGUUAACAACCGCAAAGUAAAUGAUAAUAGUAUAAGUUAUGGACUAUUUCACAACUAUAUCAAAUCUUGAGAGCCGGG